CGAUGCGUAGGGGUUCUGAGAGGAAGGCCCCCCACACUGGUACUGAGACACGGACCAGACUCCUACGGGAGGCAGCAGUGAGGAAUAUUGGUCAAUGGCCGAGAGGCUGAACCAGCCAAGUCGCGUGAGGGAAGAAUGUCCUAAGGAUUGUAAACCUCUUUUGUCGGGGAGCAAAAAGGCUCUGCGGAGUCGUAUUGAGAGUACCCGAAGAAAAAGCAUCGGCUAACUCCGUGCCAGCAGCCGCGGUAAUACGGAGGAUGCGAGCGUUAUCCGGAUUUAUUGGGUUUAAAGGGUGCGCAGGCGGCGUGUCAAGCAAGCGGUAAAAUAGCGGGGCUCAACCCCGUCGAGCCGUUUGAACUGGCGCGCUUGAGUUCAGGCGAGGUAGGCGGAAUUCGUGGUGUAGCGGUGAAAUGCAUAGAUAUCACGAAGAACUCCGAUUGCGAAGGCAGCUUACCAGUCUGCGACUGACGCUCAGGCACGAAAGUGUGGGUAUCGAACAGGAUUAGAUACCCUGGUAGUCCACACAGUAAACGAUGAGCGCUAGGUGUCCGGGUCGCAUGAGACUUGG
This 568-nucleotide ribosomal RNA is filed under the name uncultured bacterium. RNAcentral describes it as "bacterial SSU rRNA". It matches the Rfam family "Bacterial small subunit ribosomal RNA", at positions 277 to 842 of the family's 1533-position model. The record is from RNAcentral.